GAUGAACGCUGGCGGCGUGCUUAACACAUGCAAGUCGAACGGAAAGGCUCCUGCUUGCAGGGGUACUCGAGUGGCGAACGGGUGAGUAACACGUGGGUGAUCUGCCCUGCACUUCGGGAUAAGCCUGGGAAACUGGGUCUAAUACCGGAUAGGACGAUGGUUUGGAUGCCAUUGUGGAAAGUUUUUUCGGUGUGGGAUGAGCUCGCGGCCUAUCAGCUUGUUGGUGGGGUAAUGGCCUACCAAGGCGUCGACGGGUAGCCGGCCUGAGAGGGUGUACGGCCACAUUGGGACUGAGAUACGGCCCAGACUCCUACGGGAGGGAGCAGUGGGGAAUAUUGCAAAAUGGGCGGAAGCCUGAUGCAGCGACGCCGGGUGGGGGAUGACGGCCUUCGGGUUGUAAACUCCUUUCGCUAGGGACGAAGCGCAAGUGACGGUACCUGGAGAAGAAGCACCGGCUAACUACGUG
RNAcentral lists this ribosomal RNA (466 nucleotides) under uncultured bacterium. RNAcentral describes it as "partial 16S ribosomal RNA". It matches the Rfam family "Bacterial small subunit ribosomal RNA", at positions 28 to 507 of the family's 1533-position model. The record is from RNAcentral.